RNAcentral lists this ribosomal RNA (564 nucleotides) under uncultured bacterium. RNAcentral's name for it is "partial 16S ribosomal RNA". It matches the Rfam family "Bacterial small subunit ribosomal RNA", at positions 355 to 1375 of the family's 1533-position model. The record is from RNAcentral.
UGGGGAAUAUUGCACAAUGGGCGAAAGCCUGAUGCAGCAACGCCGCGUGAGUGAUGAAGGCCUUCGGGUUGUAAAGCUCUGUCUUUUGGGACGAUAAUGACGGUACCAAAGGAGGAAGCCACGGCUAACUACGUGCCAGCAGCCGCGGUAAUACGUAGGUGGCAAGCGUUGUCCGGAUUUACUGGGCGUAAAGGAUGCGUAGGCGGAUUUUUAAGUGAGAUGUGAAAACCCUAAGCUUAACUUGGGGACUGCAUUUCAUACUGGAAAUCUAGAGUGCGGGAGAGGAGAAUGGAAUUCCUAGUGUAGCGGUGAAAUGCGUAGAGAUUAGGAAGAACACCAGUGGCGAAGGCGAUUCUCUGGACCGUAACUGACGCUGAGGCAUGAAAGCGUGGGUAGCAAAACAGGAUUAGAUACCCUGGUAGUCCACGCCGUAAAACGAUGAGUACUAGGUGUAGGAGGUAUCGACCCCUUCUGUGCCGCAGUUAACACAAUAAGUACUCCGCCUGGGAAGUACGAUCGCAAGAUUAAAACUCAAAUGAAUUGACGGGGUCAUAGCUGUUUCCU